This 1186-nucleotide ribosomal RNA is filed under the name Leuconostoc carnosum. Its description in RNAcentral is "bacterial SSU rRNA". It matches the Rfam family "Bacterial small subunit ribosomal RNA", at positions 275 to 1454 of the family's 1533-position model. Lineage: Bacteria; Bacillati; Bacillota; Bacilli; Lactobacillales; Lactobacillaceae. The record is from RNAcentral.
AAUGAUGCAUAGCCGAGUUGAGAGACUGAUCGGCCACAUUGGGACUGAGACACGGCCCAAACUCCUACGGGAGGCUGCAGUAGGGAAUCUUCCACAAUGGGCGAAAGCCUGAUGGAGCAACGCCGCGUGUGUGAUGAAGGCUUUCGGGUCGUAAAGCACUGUUGUAUGGGAAGAAAAGUUAAGGUAGGGAAUGACCUUAGCCUGACGGUACCAUACCAGAAAGGGACGGCUAAAUACGUGCCAGCAGCCGCGGUAAUACGUAUGUCCCGAGCGUUAUCCGGAUUUAUUGGGCGUAAAGCGAGCGCAGACGGUUGGUUAAGUCUGAUGUGAAAGCCCGGAGCUCAACUCCGGAAAGGCAUUGGAAACUGGUUAACUUGAGUGCAGUAGAGGUAAGUGGAACUCCAUGUGUAGCGGUGGAAUGCGUAGAUAUAUGGAAGAACACCAGCGGCGAAGGCGGCUUACUGGACUGUAACUGACGUUGAGGCUCGAAAGUGUGGGUAGCAAACAGGAUUAGAUACCCUGGUAGUCCACACCGUAAACGAUGAACACUAGGUGUUAGGAGGUUUCCGCCUCUUAGUGCCGAAGCUAACGCAUUAAGUGUUCCGCCUGGGGAGUACGACCGCAAGGUUGAAACUCAAAGGAAUUGACGGGGACCCGCACAAGCGGUGGAGCAUGUGGUUUAAUUCGAAGCAACGCGAAGAACCUUACCAGGUCUUGACAUCCUUUGAAGCUUUUAGAAAUAGAAGUGUUCUCUUCGGAGACAAAGUGACAGGUGGUGCAUGGUCGUCGUCAGCUCGUGUCGUGAGAUGUUGGGUUAAGUCCCGCAACGAGCGCAACCCUUAUUGUUAGUUGCCAGCAUUCAGAUGGGCACUCUAGCGAGACUGCCGGUGACAAACCGGAGGAAGGCGGGGACGACGUCAGAUCAUCAUGCCCCUUAUGACCUGGGCUACACACGUGCUACAAUGGCGUAUACAACGAGUUGCCAACCUGCGAAGGUGAGCUAAUCUCUUAAAGUACGUCUCAGUUCGGACUGCAGUCUGCAACUCGACUGCACGAAGUCGGAAUCGCUAGUAAUCGCGGAUCAGCACGCCGCGGUGAAUACGUUCCCGGGUCUUGUACACACCGCCCGUCACACCAUGGAAGUUUGUAAUGCCCAAAGCCGGUGGCCUAACCGUAAGGAGGAACC